Molecule: long non-coding RNA, 269 nt
Filed under: Malus domestica (apple)
Lineage: Eukaryota; Viridiplantae; Streptophyta; Magnoliopsida; Rosales; Rosaceae
Description: long non-coding RNA (MDOM_LNC007374)
Source: RNAcentral
GUGAUACCCCUCAGCCAAUGCUCUGCGCCUGAAGGUGUCCUCCUCCUCUCUCCUGAAAGCCGACUUUCGCUUCUUCGACGACGGCGCAUCGAGCAGUGACUCCGAGAUUCCGCUGCGGCGACGGCGGGGUAGGAGGAAGAGGAGGAAGGAGAGGAAGAAGGUGUGGAUGAAGAGGAGGAAGGCUCUUAGGGUUUUGAGGAUCGGGAUUAUGCGGUUGCUGGCUCCGGAGGUCAGCUGCUCCAUCUCCGCCGUCGACAUGGCCAAGGAAU